This is a non-coding RNA of Phrynosoma platyrhinos (Desert horned lizard), 74 nucleotides long. NCBI's taxonomy places the organism in Eukaryota, Metazoa, Chordata, Lepidosauria, Squamata, Phrynosomatidae. The record is from the annotation of a GenBank genome assembly.
UGCUAUCUGUUGUGUAGUGGUUUGGAUGCUGGACUAAUACCCUGGGGACCAGGGUUCAAAUCCCUGCUUAGCCA